This is a long non-coding RNA of Grammomys surdaster, 642 nucleotides long. RefSeq lists it as uncharacterized. NCBI's taxonomy places the organism in Eukaryota, Metazoa, Chordata, Mammalia, Rodentia, Muridae. The transcript has 3 exons. The record is from RefSeq and is a predicted model, not a curated record.
CAGGACAAGACUUGUCCAGGGGGAAUCUAGGACAUUAGAGUACUCCAGAAAGAAAGACCGGUGGACAGCUGCAAACAUAAUAUAUAAAAAGCUUCCACCUCUCCACAGUCAGCCCCAAAUACUGACCACGAACCCUGUCCACCAUGAAGCUACAGACACUGAGACACAGCAGGAGGGGAAGGCUGGAGAAGGAUCUUGCAAAGGAGCAGACCUCUCCAGUCAUGAUCAUAAUACAAAGUAAUUCCGGUUCACUGAGGCUUCCAGUUCACUGAGGAGGCUGAGCUCAUGACGAGGCAGCAGCUACCCUACUAAGGGUUACGAAUGCAUCACUACAGUAGGCCUCCUGAUGACCUGGAGGGUCUCAUAUAAACUAUACUGGCCAUAUCCUUCUGGUGGGCAGUGAUGGAAGCUCUCAAACUCCUGCUGUCAUCUCUCCAGUGUGCGAUUACAGGCACACACCACACCCAGCCUCCACAGUUGUUUUCCAUGACCAGAUAUAUGUUUAUUUAUGUCUCAAGCUCUUUCUGCACCCAGAGACCUUUCUUGAGAAGGCCCUUUCGUGCAGGGGAAGAUGGUAGGGGCAGGACCUGUCUCUCUGCUUCCGGAACUUUCACCGUGACCUCAGGCAGGUGCAAACUGGUG